Molecule: ribosomal RNA, 772 nt
Filed under: Xanthoria parietina
Lineage: Eukaryota; Fungi; Ascomycota; Lecanoromycetes; Teloschistales; Teloschistaceae
Description: SSU rRNA
Rfam family: Bacterial small subunit ribosomal RNA
Source: RNAcentral
AAUGCUAUUUGCGCUAAUGUUUUAGUGUAAAAUCGACUAUGUCGCAUAAAAUUCUGGAUAGAAUUAUGAUAAUGACAUUAUCUAUUUAUAAGUCUUGACCAAAUUACGUGCCAGCAGUCGCGGUAAUACGUAGAAGACAAGUGUUAUUCAUCUUUAAUAGGUUUAAAGGGUACUUAGACGGUAAAUAAAGCCUCAAAAAGGGACUAGUUUGCUAGAGUUUUAUAUGAAGGGGUUUUAAAGUACUACUGGUGUAGAGAUGAAAUUCAGUUAUACCUUACAUGGCACAGGUUAAGGCGAAAGCAUCUUCUUAUGUAAAAACUGACGUUGAAGGACGAAGGCUUUGUGUCUCGAACAGGAUUAGAUACCCUAGUAGUCUAAGCAGAAAAUCAUGAAUGUCAUAGAUUAGAUAUAAUUUGAUCUAUAAAUGAUAGUGUAAGCAUUCCACCUCAAGAGUAAUUUGGCAACAUUGGAACUGAAAUCAUUAGACCGUUUCUGAAACCAGUAGUGAAGUAUGUUGUUUAAUUUGAUAAUCCGCAAAAAACCUUACCACAAUUUGAAUAGAUAUAUUUUAUCAUACAGGCGUUGCACGGCUGUUUUUAGUUAAUGUCGUGAGACUUUGGUUAGUUCCAUUAAAUUAACGUAAACCCUUACUUUAUUUUUAUAUAAAGUAGUUCACCGCUAUAUUGGAUGUGAUAAUAGGGAUCAAGACAAGUCAUCAUGACCUAAAUAUUGUGGGCUAUAGACGUGCCACAUAUGCCUUACAAAGGGAUGC